RNAcentral lists this ribosomal RNA (301 nucleotides) under uncultured bacterium. RNAcentral describes it as "partial 16S ribosomal RNA". It matches the Rfam family "Bacterial small subunit ribosomal RNA", at positions 509 to 807 of the family's 1533-position model. The record is from RNAcentral.
CAGUCGCCACGGGAAUACGUAGGUGGCAAGCGUUGUCCGGAUUUAUUGGGCGUAAAGCGAGCGCAGGCGGUCAAUUAAGUCUGAUGUGAAAGCCCCCGGCUCAACCGGGGAGGGUCAUUGGAAACUGGUUGACUUGAGUGCAGAAGAGGAGAGUGGAAUUCCAUGUGUAGCGGUGAAAUGCGUAGAUAUAUGGAGGAACACCAGUGGCGAAGGCGACUCUCUGGUCUGUAACUGACGCUGAGGCUCGAAAGCGUGGGUAGCAAACAGGAUUAGAUACCCGCGUAGUCCCUGUCUCUUAUAC